RNAcentral lists this ribosomal RNA (807 nucleotides) under Salmonella enterica. RNAcentral describes it as "partial 23S ribosomal RNA". It matches the Rfam family "Bacterial large subunit ribosomal RNA", at positions 711 to 1430 of the family's 2925-position model. The record is from RNAcentral. RNAcentral also lists the same sequence under 1 other name. Lineage: Bacteria; Pseudomonadati; Pseudomonadota; Gammaproteobacteria; Enterobacterales; Enterobacteriaceae.
AGACCCGAAACCCGGUGAUCUAGCCAUGGGCAGGUUGAAGGUUGGGUAACACUAACUGGAGGACCGAACCGACUAAUGUUGAAAAAUUAGCGGAUGACCUGUGGCUGGGGGUGAAAGGCCAAUCAAACCGGGAGAUAGCUGGUUCUCCCCGAAAGCUAUUUAGGUAGCGCCUCGUGAAUUCAUCUCCGGGGGUAGAGCACUGUUUCGGCUAGGGGGCCAUCCCGGCUUACCAACCCGAUGCAAACUGCGAAUACCGGAGAAUGUUAUCACGGGAGACACACGGCGGGUGCUAACGUCCGUCGUGAAGAGGGAAACAACCCAGACCGCCAGCUAAGGUCCCAAAGUCAUGGUUAAGUGGGAAACGAUGUGGGAAGGCCCAGACAGCCAGGAUGUUGGCUUAGAAGCAGCCAUCAUUUAAAGAAAGCGUAAUAGCUCACUGGUCGAGUCGGCCUGCGCGGAAGAUGUAACGGGGCUAAACCAUGCACCGAAGCUGCGGCAGCGAACGUAUCACCCAAGACAACUUUACGGAGUUGACGAUUGACGGAGCGAAGCGACGUCAAAGCGUUCAUUAAAGUCGAGUUGGCUUAGGGAUACGUUCGUUGGGUAGGGGAGCGUUCUGUAAGCCUGUGAAGGUGUGUCGUGAGGCAUGCUGGAGGUAUCAGAAGUGCGAAUGCUGACAUAAGUAACGAUAAAGCGGGUGAAAAGCCCGCUCGCCGGAAGACCAAGGGUUCCUGUCCAACGUUAAUCGGGGCAGGGUGAGUCGACCCCUAAGGCGAGGCCGAAAGGCGUAGUCGAUGGGAAACGGGU